Molecule: non-coding RNA, 267 nt
Organism: Pelobates cultripes (western spadefoot toad)
Lineage: Eukaryota; Metazoa; Chordata; Amphibia; Anura; Pelobatidae
Source: the annotation of a GenBank genome assembly
UAUCUGACUAUGUGUGUGUGUAUCUGACUGUAUGUGUAUAUCUGACUGUAUGUGUGUAUCUGACUAUGUGUGUGUGUAUCUGACUGUAUGUGUGUAUCUGACUAUGUGUGUGUGUAUCUGACUGUAUGUGUAUAUCUGACUGUAUGUGUGUAUAUCUGACUGUAUGUGUGUAUCUGACUGUAUGUGUGUAUCUGACUAUGUAUGUGUAUAUCUGACUAUGUAUGUGUAUAUCUGACUGUAUGUGUGUAUCUGACUAUGUAUGUGUAU